This is a long non-coding RNA of Meriones unguiculatus (Mongolian gerbil), 1164 nucleotides long. RefSeq lists it as uncharacterized. The record is from RefSeq and is a predicted model, not a curated record. NCBI's taxonomy places the organism in Eukaryota, Metazoa, Chordata, Mammalia, Rodentia, Muridae. The transcript is spliced from 3 exons.
AAACAACAUCCACGCCUGCUUCCCUCUGGUCCCUCUGUUGUGUAAGGACAAAUCUCUGUAACAGCCCAUUACAUACAUUUCCUGUGGCUGUUUCUCCCUUUAAACCCUAACAGGGUCUAGUGAAUGUAGCUCAAGUUGGCCUCGAACUCACGAUGCCCCUGCUUCCGCUUCCUCAGCAGGAGCACGGGGACUUCAGGUCGGCAGCACCCACAUCACAGAGUUCUUUCAGCCAUGCUGCCAGGAGGUAGAUGUGGUCAGCUGACAAGUACUAAUUCUGUGACUUUCGUGACCCGUGAAAGCCUUCUGAGCAGGUCUCCAGUGGCCUUUACAAACACUCAGUGACCCUGGCUACCAGCAGAAUCUGGGGAACAGUGUAUUCUCCAGAGAACUUCUUACUCCCUUCCGAAGAACUGGGGAAAAUGUUACUAAAGACUGUGAGCUAUGGCCUUUUGCUAUCCUUAUGUGCGUGUGACUCAUCAGUGUAUCUGUGCUUCUAUAUAGAAAGAGCACUCUCAGAAAACAAUGAGGGUAGCUGGGCCAUGGUGGUUGGUGAAUGCCUGUAAUCCCAGCACUCACGAGGCAGAGGCAGUAGGAUCUCUGAUUCAGAAGGCCAGCCUGGUUUACAAAGCAUGUCCAGGACAGCCAAGAGCCAAGGCUGCACAGGAAAACCCUGCCUUGAAACAAUAAAUAAAUAAAUAAAUAAAAACAAUGAGUGUAUAGAAAACUAAAAUCAAGCUGGGCUUGGUGGCAUCAGCCUUUAAUCUCAGCACUUGGGAGGCAGAGGCAGGUGAACCUGUAAAUUCAAGGACAGCCUGGUGAACAAUGUGAGUUCUAGGACAGCCAGGGCCACACAAAGAAAUCCUGUCUGGAAAAACCCAAAAGAAAAGAAAACUAAAAUUACUCCAGCUAGUUAGGAGGACUGAAAGUCUGAGGAACACAGUAGGAUUGCAAGUCUGAGGACAGCCUGGCAAACACUGAGAGGUCAUCUGAGGGGGGGAAAAAAAGAAAGAAAAGCCGACAAAGAAAACAAGAAGGAACAAAGCCUGAGUAGCAGAAACAUGAAAAGCAAGUUGCCAUGCGGUGGUAUAGGUGCCACUCCGUGGCAGAGCCCCGGCCUUGCACGCCUUCCCUGUCCCCAGCACAGCAACUGUGCCAGCUUGAACG